ACAAUUGUUACAUUAAAAUGUAGUAAGCAUAUUGACUUCUUCUCUCAAUAAAUAGAUGAAUUGUCCAGGGUUUCUGCAGACCGACCAAAGGUGAUGAUCCCACAUCAGCAACAAGAGUCAGGAGGAAGACUUCAGAAGCAGGAAUGCAUAGAUCCAAGAAAGAUCAUAUGUGAAGCACCAGUCUAUGCUCUGUAUCUCGCCUUCCACUUUUCAAGGCAUCACUCUAAUGAAGAUCUCCUCCUUCAGCUGUGCUCUCCAUGGCCUCUGAACAUAUAACAUAGUCCUAGCUCACCCAAAUGAAACAAACAGACAAAGAAGAUCUGCUUCAAAAUGAUGGCUCUCUCAAUGGAGAAACCUGAAAAUGGCUGACAUCCUUUAAAGAAGACAGAUUCACACACACACACACACACACACACGCACACAUUCACGCGAUCUUUUUCACCCAUCCCCACCGUCCCCACAUUAAGCUACCGUUUUAUCACUUCUUCCACCUACCAGGACAUCUUUCUUUUUUUUUUUUUGAGACGGAGUUUUGCCCUUGUUGCCCAGGCUGGGGUGCAAUGGCACGAUCUCGGUUCACAGCAACUUCCGCCUCCCCAGUUCAAGCCAUUCUCCUGCUUCAGCCUACCAAGUAGCUGGGAUUAGGCAUGCACCACUAUACCUGGCUAAUUUUGUAUUUUUAGUAGAGACAGGGUUUCUCCACGUUGGUUAGGCUGGUUUCUCCACGUUGGUUAGAUGGGGUUUCUCCAUGUUGGUUGGGCUGAUCUCGAACUCCCGACCUCAGGUGAUCUGCCGCCUCGGCCUCCCAAAGUGCUGGUAUUACAGGCGUAAGCCACCACGCUGGCACAUCUCUCUUUUUUAAACUUUUAUUUUAGAUGCAAGGGGUACAUGUGCAAGUUCGUUACCUGGGUAUAUUGUGUGAUACUAAGGUCUGAGGUAUGAAUGAUCUUGUCACCCAGGUACUGAGCAUAGUACCUAAUAGUUUUUCAACCCUUGCCCUCUUCUCUUCCUCCCCCUCUGUUAGUCCCUAGUUUCUAUUGUUGCCAUCUUUGUGUCCAUGUGUAUUCAAUCUUGAUCUCCCACUUCUAAGUGAGGACAUGCAGUAUUCAGUGGUUUUGUUUCUGCAUCAGUUGGCUUAGGAUAACGGCCUCCGGCUGCAUCCCUGUUGCUGCAAAGGACAUGAGUUCAUCCUUUUUCAUGGCUGCAUAAUAUUCCAUGGUGUACACAUAUUAUAUUUUCUUUAUUCAAUCCCCCAUUGAUGGGCACUUAGAUUGAUUCCAUGUCUUUGCUAUUGUGAAUAGCACUGCAAUGAACAUGUGAAUGAAUGUGUCUUUUUGGUAGAAAGAUUUUCUUUCUUUUGGAUAUAUACCCAAUAAUGGGAUAAUAGGAUUGCUGUUCUUUGAGAAAUCUCCAAACUGCUUUCCACAGGGGCUGAACUCAUUUAUACUCCCACAAACAGUGUAUAAGCAUUCCCUUUUCUUUGCAGCCUCUACAGCAUCUGUUGUUUUUUUUCACUUUUUAGUAGUAGCUAUUCUGACUGGUGUGAGAUGGUAUCUCAUUGUGGUUUUGAUUUGCAUUUCUUUGAUGGCUAGUGAUGUGGAGCAUUUUGUCAUAUGUUUGCUAGUUGCUUGUAUAUCUUCUUUUGAAAAGUGCAGGACAUCUCAAUAUUUACUUUAACUCAACUCUGUGUAUGUGUGUGUGUGUGUGUGUGUGUGUGUGCAGGUAGGGAGGAAAACAAGGACAGAAACCAGGAGGCCCAGCCCAGGAUUAAAAACACACCACAGCCUUUCCAAAAAGUCAGAGUCAUACAUGGAUCACUUGGAAAUAACUGAACUUGCAAAUCCAGUUUCCCAUGGACCUGCUGAGUUUAUGAGGUAAGAGAAGGGAAGCGUUCACAUAAUGAGAGAUGAUUCUUUUCAUUACCAUGGUUGCAAAUUUGAUGAUGGCAGGAGCAUUUGUGCUUGGCUACAGGAUUCCAAUUCCUGCCUGAGAUUUCAGAACACCCUUCCUGCCCUUCUUUGAAGAUGGCCAGGAUACUUGAGGAUGCCUUGC
Molecule: long non-coding RNA, 2052 nt
Organism: Pan paniscus (pygmy chimpanzee)
Lineage: Eukaryota; Metazoa; Chordata; Mammalia; Primates; Hominidae
Source: Ensembl